GACGAACGCUGGCGGCGUGCUUAACACAUGCAAGUCGAACGGUGAAGCGCCUUCCUUUUUGGUGGGUGUGGAUGAGUGGCGAACGGGUGAGUAACACGUGAGUAACCUGCCCCCUUCUUCUGGAUAACCGCAUGAAAGUGUGGCUAAUACGGGAUAUUCUGGGUCUGUCGCAUGAUGGGUCUGGGAAAGAUAUUGUUUCGGUGGGGGAUGGGCUCGCGGCCUAUCAGCUUGUUGGUGGGGUGAUGGCCUACCAAGGCGGUGACGGGUAGCCGGCCUGGGAGGGUGGGCGGGUCACAGGGGACCGGGGCACCGCCCAGAAGUCCUAGGGGGGGAAGCGGUGGGAAAUAUUGCACAAUGGGCGCAAGCCUGAUGCAGGGACGCCGCGUGAGGUAGGGAGGCCUUCGGUGUGGGACCCUUUUUCGCAAGUGAAGAAGGCCUGCCUCGUUUGUGGGUGGUUGACGGUAGCUGGAUAAGAAGCGCCGGCUAACUACGU
This 493-nucleotide ribosomal RNA is filed under the name uncultured bacterium. Its description in RNAcentral is "partial 16S ribosomal RNA". It matches the Rfam family "Bacterial small subunit ribosomal RNA", at positions 28 to 506 of the family's 1533-position model. The record is from RNAcentral.